Molecule: long non-coding RNA, 477 nt
Filed under: Brassica napus (rape)
Lineage: Eukaryota; Viridiplantae; Streptophyta; Magnoliopsida; Brassicales; Brassicaceae
Description: long non-coding RNA (BNAP_LNC024469)
Source: RNAcentral
CAUCAGCCGCAUCAGGACGGCCAUCCAUACGUACUGCACUACAUAGCUAAACCAGUAAGCAAAAGCCAAAAAAAGAGCUAAGAAAAAUAGAACUUUCCACAUCUCUCUCUAAACUUUACUCCUAAGUUUUUCUGUGUUCCACCGAAGACUCAUAUAAUGCAAAUAUAUAUAUAUCUAAACCUUGAGUAGGUGACCAGUGUUUAAUACUACUGAAUUUUCACUCAAAAUAAGAACUUGGCGUCUCCAAGUUUCCAAAGUGUUUUUAACAUCUUCUUUUAUUUCCAUACCAUUUUCUAAAUAAUCAGUGAUAGACUCACAGAGUAUACUUUCCUUAUUUAACUACUGAAGUCUGAACAUGCUUUAUGGCAUGCAUAUCUCUAUCCCUCUCCUUUUCGGUUUUACAGUUCGGUCCAGUUCUACAUUAUGCAUUUGGUAUUAUGGACGAACAUACCCACCAUAUGUAUAAAAUUUGGGAAA